GAUGAACGCUAGCGGGAGGCCUAACACAUGCAAGCCGAGCGGUAUUUCUUCUUCGGGAGAGAGAGAGCGGCGUACGGGUGCGGAACACGUGUGCAACCUGCCUUUAUCUAGAGGAUAGCCUUUCGAAAGGAAGAUCAAUACUCUAUAAUAUAUUAAUUGGCAUCAAUUGAUAUUGAAAACUCCGGUGGAUAGAGAUGGGCACGCGCAAGAUUAGCUAGUUGGUGAGGUAACGGCUCACCAAGGCAAUGAUCUUUAGGGGGACUGAGAGGGUGAUCCCCCACACUGGUACUGAGCCACGGACCAGACUCCUACGGGAGGCAGCAGUGAGGAAUAUUGGUCAAUGCGUGCAAGCCUGAACCCGCCAUCCCGCGUGAAGGAUUAAGGUCCUAUGGAUUGUAAACUUCUUUUGUAUAGGGAUAAACCUACCCUCGUGAGGGUAGCUGAAGGUACUAUACGAAUAAGCACCGGCUAACUCCGUGCCAGCAGCCGCCGUAA
RNAcentral lists this ribosomal RNA (495 nucleotides) under uncultured bacterium. RNAcentral describes it as "partial 16S ribosomal RNA". It matches the Rfam family "Bacterial small subunit ribosomal RNA", at positions 28 to 523 of the family's 1533-position model. The record is from RNAcentral.